This is a long non-coding RNA of Sabethes cyaneus, 188 nucleotides long. RefSeq lists it as uncharacterized. The record is from RefSeq and is a predicted model, not a curated record. Lineage: Eukaryota; Metazoa; Arthropoda; Insecta; Diptera; Culicidae. The transcript is spliced from 2 exons.
CCUGGUUGAUUGCAGCCCGUUCCGGUCUUGCACGAGCAGCUGCAUUGACAGUUCGUCCCGCAGGGUGCACCAUCUCCGCAGCAAGUGGUGCACUGGCAAUUUGCUAGAAACAGAAAUGAAUUUGGUUUACGGACAUUGUACUGUAUUUUCUCAACGAGGUUAGGUAAAGUGGAACCGGGUAAAAUCAC